This 72-nucleotide transfer RNA is filed under the name Marmota monax (woodchuck). Its description in RNAcentral is "tRNA.Undet". The record is from RNAcentral. Lineage: Eukaryota; Metazoa; Chordata; Mammalia; Rodentia; Sciuridae.
UGGGGUGUGGCUCAGUGGUAGAGCCCUUGCCUAGCAGGUGCCAAGCCCUGGGUUCCAUCCCCGGGAUUCAAA